Ruditapes philippinarum (Manila clam) is the source of this 855-nucleotide long non-coding RNA. RefSeq lists it as uncharacterized. The transcript is spliced from 2 exons. NCBI's taxonomy places the organism in Eukaryota, Metazoa, Mollusca, Bivalvia, Venerida, Veneridae. The record is from RefSeq and is a predicted model, not a curated record.
UUUACAAGAGAAAAACCCGAAACUAACAAUUUUUCAGUUAUAUUGAACUCGCACGUGCUCCUGUCAAAUUGAUAGGUAUAUAAAUAAGAAGUUUUAAUGUAGUAUUCCUUUAUUUUGGCUCGAAUAUUCUCAUUUUUCGUGAUGUUUAAACAGCAUUGUGUACUCAAAUCUCGUGCAGAUCCUUUUCCAUUUGAUUUCUAUCUAAGAAUUGUAUGACUGUGCACGUAUGAGCACGUGCAAUUAUUCUCCACCAGUUAAAAUAAGCUAGAAAGUCGGUUUAUAACCUGUACGGGAUGAUGUUUAAUACAACUUGAACUAGUUAAAGAGCUUCACUGGAUAAAAACCUUUACUAAAACGCUCAUUUAAAAUAUUUUAAGUUAAGCAUGGUUCAUUUCUCUACAUUAUAUUUAUUUGCAUUUUAUCGAUUUCUUUUUAUUUUGUUUUUGUUAGUGCGUUAAACAUAACGAGACAAUGAUGAUGACGAGAGACAAAUUUCUAACCAUGAACCUGAAAAAAAGGAAAGAACUCGGAAACAGAUAAACCAACCGUUACAGAAAUCACAGAAAAAUAAUACUACUAAUACAGGGGGGAAUAAUUCUGGAAAAACUGACACUAAUACUGGAGGAGAUAAUACCGGAAGUGGGGAUACAAAUACUGGGGGAGGUACUACCGGAAGUAGCGACUCACAUACAGGAGGUGGCUAUUCCGGUGGUGGGGAUAUAUUGGGGGGUGGCUAUUCCGGUGGUGGGGAUAUUGGGGGCGGUUAUUCCGGAGGUGGGGACUCUGGAGGAAGCAGUGGAGGUGGGGGAGGCGGCGGUGGGUGUGGAUACGAUGGUGGUGACGAUUAAAGUUUUU